RNAcentral lists this ribosomal RNA (180 nucleotides) under uncultured bacterium. RNAcentral's name for it is "partial 16S ribosomal RNA". It matches the Rfam family "Bacterial small subunit ribosomal RNA", at positions 337 to 508 of the family's 1533-position model. The record is from RNAcentral.
UCCUACGGGAGGCAGCAGUGGGGAAUCUUCCGCAAUGGGCGCAAGCCUGACGGAGCAACGCCGCGUGAGUGAAGAAGGGUUUCGACUCGUAAAGCUCUGUUGUCGGGGACGAAUGUGGAGAUGGUGAAUAACCAUUUUCAAUGACGGUACCUGAGAGGAAGCCAACGGCUAACUACGUGC